This 304-nucleotide ribosomal RNA is filed under the name Gigantolaelaps wolffsohni. RNAcentral describes it as "partial 16S ribosomal RNA". The record is from RNAcentral. Lineage: Eukaryota; Metazoa; Arthropoda; Arachnida; Mesostigmata; Laelapidae.
AUUCUUACUUCACAAAGGUAUUGAAACAAGACUUUAAUUGAGUGCUAAGAGAAUGGAAAAAUGAUAAAAAUCUUUAUUAUUAAAAAUAAUAAAAUUUAUAAUAAAAAUAAAAAAUUUUUUAUAAAAUUAUUAGACAAGAAGACCCUAUGAAUCUUAAUUUUUUAAAAAAUUUAAUUGGGGUGAUUAAAAAAUAUAAAAAAACUUUAUUUUUAAAGUUAAUUUUAAAAUAAAUAAAAAGAUACUCUAGGGAUAACAGCGUUAUUAUUUUGGAAAGAUCACAUUAAUAAAAUAGUUUGCGACCUCG